AUUGAACGCUGGCGGCAGGCCUAACACAUGCAAGUCGAACGGAAGAACGGUGCUUGCUUGUGGUUACAGCGGGGGACGGGUGGGUGAUGCCUGGGAAUCUCCCUGUUUGCGUUUUAGAACGGCCGGAAGCAGGGGCUAAUACCGCAUAAGUGCAGAGGGAGUAAGGGGGAGAGCUUCGGACCUUACGCUAUCAGGUGAUUGUAGGUCGGAUUAGCUAGUUGGUGGGGUAAAGGCCUACCAAGGCGACGAUCCGUAGCUGGUCUGAGAGGAUGAUCAGUCACACUGGAACUGAGACACGGUCCAGACUCCUACGGGAGGCAGCAGUGGGGAAUAUUGGACAAUGGGCGAAAGCCUGAUCCAGCCAUGCCGCGUGUGUGAAGAAGGCCUUCGGAUUGUAAAGCCCUUUUAGUUGGGAGGAAGGGCAGUAGGUUAAUACCCUGCUGUUUUGACGUUACCAACAGAAUAAGCACCGGCUAACUUCGUG
RNAcentral lists this ribosomal RNA (484 nucleotides) under uncultured bacterium. RNAcentral's name for it is "partial 16S ribosomal RNA". It matches the Rfam family "Bacterial small subunit ribosomal RNA", at positions 30 to 507 of the family's 1533-position model. The record is from RNAcentral.